Mycena galericulata is the source of this 86-nucleotide non-coding RNA. The record is from the annotation of a GenBank genome assembly. Lineage: Eukaryota; Fungi; Basidiomycota; Agaricomycetes; Agaricales; Mycenaceae.
GACCUCUUGGCUCAGUGGUAGAGCAUCUGAUUCCAGAAUUUAACGCGGCUUCCAGAAGGUCGUCCGUUCGAUCCGGGCAGAGGUCA